Molecule: ribosomal RNA, 506 nt
Filed under: uncultured bacterium
Lineage: Bacteria
Description: partial 16S ribosomal RNA
Rfam family: Bacterial small subunit ribosomal RNA
Source: RNAcentral
GAUGAACGCUAGCUACAGGCUUAACACAUGCAAGUCGAGGGGUAACAAGAGGAAAGCUUGCUUUUCUUGUUGACGACCGGCGCACGGGUGAGUAACGCGUAUCCAACCUGCCUAUAACUAGGGAAUAACCUUGCGAAAGUAAGACUAAUACCCUAUGAUUUCCUUUGAUGACAUCAGAUUAGGAAUAAAGAUUUAUCGGUUAUAGAUGGGGAUGCGUCUGAUUAGCUUGUUGGCGGGGUAACGGCCCACCAAGGCAACGAUCAGUAGGGGUUCUGAGAGAUAAGUCCCCGACAUUGGAACGGAGGCACGGUCCAAACUCCUGCGGGAGGCAGCAGUGAGGGAUAUGGGUCAAUGGGCGGAAGCCUGAACCAGCCAGGUAGCGGACAGGUUGACGGCCCUAUGUGUUGUAAACUGCUUUUAUACAGGAAUAAAGUUAGCCACGUGUGGUUAUUUGUAGGUACUGUAUGAAUAAGGACCGGCUAAGUCCGUGCCAGCAGCCGCCGUAA